UACGGGGGGGGCAAGCGUUGUUCGGAAUUACUGGGCGUAAAGGGCGCGUAGGCGGUCCGCUAAGUUGGAUGUGAAAACUCUGGGCUUAACCCAGAGCCUGCAUUCAAAACUGACGGGCUAGAGUUCUGGAGGGGGUAGCGGAAUUCCUGGUGUAGCGGUGAAAUGCGUAGAUAUCGUAAGGAAGACCAGUGGCGAAGGCGGGUCUCUGGACAGUUCCUGACGCUGAGGCACGAAGGCCAGGGGAGCAAACGGG
RNAcentral lists this ribosomal RNA (253 nucleotides) under uncultured bacterium. RNAcentral describes it as "partial 16S ribosomal RNA". It matches the Rfam family "Bacterial small subunit ribosomal RNA", at positions 524 to 776 of the family's 1533-position model. The record is from RNAcentral.